This 201-nucleotide small nucleolar RNA is filed under the name Heliconius melpomene (postman butterfly). RNAcentral describes it as "small nucleolar RNA U3". It matches the Rfam family "Small nucleolar RNA U3". Rfam says of the family: Small nucleolar RNAs (snoRNAs) are involved in the processing and modification of rRNA in the nucleolus. There are two main classes of snoRNAs: the box C/D class, and the box H/ACA class. U3 snoRNA is a member of the box C/D class. The record is from RNAcentral. Lineage: Eukaryota; Metazoa; Arthropoda; Insecta; Lepidoptera; Nymphalidae.
AAGACUUUACUUCAUAGGAUCAUUUCUAUAGUAAGCUCUUCACGAGAUCCACAUAACAUGUGAGAUCGUGCCAGCCGCGAUGAGGAGAUGUGGCGCGGCGCCCUGAGCGUGAGGCGGGCGCGGCUUCGGCCGACAGCCCUCGAUGAUCGUUCACUCCACCACUAGUGGUGGAGCGUGGGGCGUUGUCGCUGUCUGAGCGGC